This 108-nucleotide transfer RNA is filed under the name Bacteroidales bacterium. RNAcentral describes it as "tRNA-OTHER". It matches the Rfam family "tRNA". Rfam says of the family: Transfer RNA (tRNA) molecules are approximately 80 nucleotides in length. Their secondary structure includes four short double-helical elements and three loops (D, anti-codon, and T loops). Lineage: Bacteria; Pseudomonadati; Bacteroidota; Bacteroidia; Bacteroidales. The record is from RNAcentral.
GGGACGUUGUUGUAGUGGUAGCAUGGCUGGUUGGAUGGAAGGAGUUUUUUCAAGAUUUUCACCUUCAGUGUAGGCCAGAGGGGGCAGGUUCGAUUCCUGCACGUCGCA